UACGUAGGGUGCAAGCGUUAAUCGGAAUUACUGGGCGUAAAGCGUGCGCAGGCGGUUAUGUAAGACAGUUGUGAAAUCCCCGGGCUCAACCUGGGAACUGCAUCUGUGACUGCAUAGCUAGAGUACGGUAGAGGGGGAUGGAAUUCCGCGUGUAGCAGUGAAAUGCGUAGAUAUGCGGAGGAACACCGAUGGCGAAGGCAAUCCCCUGGACCUGUACUGACGCUCCUUCACGAAAGCGUUGGGAGCAAACAGG
RNAcentral lists this ribosomal RNA (253 nucleotides) under uncultured bacterium. RNAcentral's name for it is "partial 16S ribosomal RNA". It matches the Rfam family "Bacterial small subunit ribosomal RNA", at positions 524 to 776 of the family's 1533-position model. The record is from RNAcentral.